AGCAAGGUAGCACAGGAAGACUGGGCUAUGCGAGUUCUGUCUUUUCCCCUGUGAUCUCCCGUGGGCCACAACUGCACGCCCCUGAAUUCAGGCAUGCAUCUGGCAAUUCUACAGAGCUCCGGUGCAGAAAGCAGGCGCUCACUCCCUUGGAAGAACUGUUCACAGUUUAAAUGGCCAAACGUCAUGGUCUGAGACUUGUGCUUACCCAAGAUACACCAGACACUAUCUCUGAAGAAGAAAUUUGCAGUGGGAACAAAGGAAGACAGAGAAUUGGGAUAUGACUGACUGUCCUGUUUGGGGUCCUGUCCUGCUCUCUCAUAAUUGGGAAUACUGCUGGAACCUAGCAUGAAGAGUUACGGCAAGUAGUUGUAACCCAAUUUAUUGACCUCACUGCAUCCAGUACUAAACUGGUACUUCAGUACAGUUAUCCCUCCAUUGCCAUGGGCUCCACAUCUGUGAAUUCAACCAACCACAGAUCUGAAAUAUUUGAAAACAAGAUACCAUCUGAACUGAAAGCGUACGGACUUGUUUUCCUGUCACUAUUUUCUAAACAACAUGGUUGGCUUCCCUAAGAUUGGGUGCUGAAGGAGUGAGGGAAGCAGGAUUGGUCAGGAGUUGUUGAACUGUGAUGAAGUUGCAAGAGAGGUUUCAGCGGAUGCCAAGAAAAUACUGGAACUAGGAUGACCUGUCCAUCAGAGAAGUUCUUUCUUAAGUCAGAGGGGUCAGGUCUUGCUGCUUUGCUGCACCCACUGGUAACUAUUUGAGGGCUCCCAAAGGGUGGGGUGACAAUGCUCUCUUUUGCAGAGAGCAAUUCCCAAAGAUAAAGAGUUGGGUUCUGUCAGUAGUAGCAGCUCAGGAGUGAGUACUUCAGCCCUAAGGCAGGUACUGAAGAUGUUCUUCAACAUUUAACAACUGUGCUGAGUUUCACUUGGCUCUUGAUUGACAUUGUAAAGUGAGACCUCCAUCAGAAAGAAAAUAUCAAAACUAGGAUAAAGGCAUUGGGACAACAUAAGGUCGAGGCAUUUAGAGAUUGGCCAUCAGAAGUUCCUGUAUUUCUUCUUGCCUUGUGCCUCCAUAACAGUCAGUCAGCUCAUCUGCCUCUGUAGAGCCUUUCCUCAAACAAGUUAAGAUGGCCUUUUACAGAACUCUUCAUAGCAUCUGUGCUUCAGCAUAGCUUUCUGUGUCAGUAAAAGUCAACAUAACCCAAUUUUAACAACCUUGGUUUUGAAAUAAAACAGGCAUUGAUUCAAAUCCCAGCUCUGACACGUGAUACCUGUGUGGUCCUGAGCAAAGGACUUAACAUCCCUCAACUUUGGUUUUUUUUUCGAUUAUAAGAUAGAGCCAAUAAUAUCAACCCCCAGGAGUGAAGAUGAAGAAUAAACUGGUAUGGUAAAUGCAAAGGGCCUAAGGUGUGCCACCAGUUAUUAUUUGAAUUACAGCAAUUUUUGUAUUACUAAUAAUAUUUCUAUUAGCAUUCUCGACCAUCAAUCACAGCUGUCUGAGCUGGUGGGUUUGGAUUUUCCAGGUGCAGGAUGAGGUGGAGUUUGGCUGAGAGCAUGAUGAGCUCUCUGGGAUGGAUCCUGUUCUAAUAACAGCCCAGUGCAGCUAGUCACGUGCUCCUUUGUCGUGGCUCCUGUUAACACACGAGGUCAUCCUGAGACACAGAGUGCUCUGAUGUUAAACGGUAUAAAAGCCAGAGGUGGGUCAGUCGAUUAGGUGAUGCUUUUAGUCUUUCUAAGCUUGCUGCUGCCUCAGGAGUCAACAGCACAUUUUGCAUAAAGCAAGUGCCCUUCUGGAGUAUAGACAGCAGAGGGAAGUGAUGAAUUCACUAGAAAGGGAAUGUCAUAGGUGGGCUUCAAGUUUUGUAAAUUGAUGUGAUUCUGCAAUUUGUAUACGGGGUAAAAAUGGGAGUUCAUAACCCACUUGAAUCAAAGUGUGAAAUACGAUAUGUCGAGAACUAUGUAAUGUUUUGAACAACCAACAAUAAAAAAAAAAGAAAAAAAAAUUUUACAAAUCCUGAUAUUCCUUUAAGAUGCUUAAAAUACAUUAUAUGUAAAUAAAUUUAUGUGUAUAUAAAUGAAUAACUUAUAAAUACAUAAAACAAAGGUAUAUAUGAUAUAUAAAUAUAAAUAAAUACAUAAAUCAAACAUAUGUAUAUAUAUUCAACAUUCAUCUCAGCAUGGAACAAAUAAAGAAUACAUAUAUUGAUGUCUGAUUUUACUUAACAUCAAGAUUAAUUAUUUUUCAAGGUAAAUAUUGACUAAAGUGGAGACCAGGGCAGUGUGUACCUCUCAGUUCAAUAAUUCUUGAUGUUAACUUCAGCAGAAAUCAAUGUCUGCUUAUUGUACUCCUAAGAGCCAAAGCAGGCAACUCUACCAUUUUAAAUAUAUUUUAGUUCUAAAAUUAAAUCAAAAUCUGUCUUGGAUCUCGUGAGUACUAAGUAUUCCUGAGUUCUUUCUACAAAAUGUUAAAUAAAACAUUUAUUGGGUCUGUUGCCCCUGACACAGAUCAGAAGACUCCACAGACGAGAAGGAAUCAUUUUAAAGUGGUAAAAGGUGAACCACAACUACUCGAAGGUGUUAUCCAGAAAGAUUUUAGCCUGGAGUUUCAUUACAAUAGAAAUAACAAUCAGAUGUGGGGAAUAAGAAAGCUAGUAGAAUGAACAGACAUUAUUAUUUCAUGUAUGUAUGUGACUGCAUGACCAAUGUGAUUCUACAACAUGUAUACUCAGAAAAAUGAGA
Ictidomys tridecemlineatus (thirteen-lined ground squirrel) is the source of this 2741-nucleotide non-coding RNA. NCBI's taxonomy places the organism in Eukaryota, Metazoa, Chordata, Mammalia, Rodentia, Sciuridae. The record is from RefSeq and is a predicted model, not a curated record.